This 440-nucleotide ribosomal RNA is filed under the name uncultured bacterium. RNAcentral's name for it is "partial 16S ribosomal RNA". It matches the Rfam family "Bacterial small subunit ribosomal RNA", at positions 338 to 795 of the family's 1533-position model. The record is from RNAcentral.
CCUACGGGUGGCAGCAGUGGGGAAUAUUGCACAAUGGGGGAAACCCUGAUGCAGCGACGCCGCGUGAGUGAAGAAGUAAUUCGUUAUGUAAAGCUCUGUCUGCAGGGAAGAAAAUGACGGUACCUGAGUAAGCAGCCCCGGCUAACUACGUGCCAGCAGCUGCGGUAAUACGUCGGGGGCAAGCGUUAUCCGGAUUUACUGGGUGUAAAGGGAGCGUAGACGGCAGUGCAAGUCUGGAGUGAAAGGCGGGGGCUCAACCCACGGACUGCGCUGGAAACUGGACGGCUGGAGUGCAGGAGAGGUAAGUGGAAUUACUAGUGUAGCGGUGAAAUGCGUAGAGAUUAGGAGGAACACCAGUGGCGAAGGCGGCUUAAUGGACUGUAACUGACGUUGAGGCUCGAAAGCGUGGGGAGCAAACAGGAUUAGAUACCCGUGUAGUC